This is a long non-coding RNA of Coturnix japonica (Japanese quail), 2472 nucleotides long. RefSeq lists it as uncharacterized. The record is from RefSeq and is a predicted model, not a curated record. Lineage: Eukaryota; Metazoa; Chordata; Aves; Galliformes; Phasianidae.
UGUGGAGGGGUGGUAACAGUCCUCACUGCAGAGCCUGGAUGUUUUGUGAUGUCUGACUAAUGCUGCUAGGAGAGGACAUAGGAAAGAAAAGAGUUAUCCAACUUACAGGAAGCAAAGAAGAUAUGAUUGCAAAGGGCUGGCACUGCUUAUGGUUUAAAGACAGACACAAUUUAGAUACCAGUGAGAUCCCAUUGCAGUCAUUCAUGUUUAUAUAGAAGAUGGAGCUUAAUGAGGUCUGUGUGGUCACAGAAAGAUAAAACACUGUGAGAUCAGAUGUGGCCCUGUGUUGUGUGUGAGAGCAAGACCUUUGAGCUUUCACGUGCUUCCUUACUUUACAAGUUCUGAACUCCUGAUGAAUGGCUUGUAACCUUUCAAGCAUCCCUUUGAAGUACCCACUGAAGCAGAGGGGAAGCAAGAGUGGUGUUUCAAACAUACUUACAAGCUGGCACUUGUUGAGAACACCAAACCCGAACUGCCUUUGGAAAAUUAAUCAACAGAAUUUUAUGAAGAGAAGGAAAACCAGAAAAAGUUGUCCAAAGUACUUUUAUGAAGAAUUAUAAAUCUCCAGAUUUCUCAGCCAUAGCAAAAUACAAUCAAGAAAGAAUUUUGUGCUCAGCUGCUGUUAAGCAUUCCAAGCUGCACAGUUAAAGCAGCACUCAAAAUUAACCUGUGGACACAUUGACAGUGAUAAGUGUAAUGAACUCUCAGCAGAAAACACGGCUAGGUACUUCAGAGCAGGUAAUACCCACGUGAAUGAUUACCUCUCGUAUGCGACUUGGUAGAGGACUUGUUUUGAGAAGUACAGUGCAGACCUCAGCAGCCGAGUUUAGCACUUGCCUGUAAAGCUUUUGAUCACGGUAUUCAGAUUUAAAUACAAAAGACUGAAUUGGUGUAAGAAAGAAAAUCUUUCAGAGUCCUUAAGGGGCUGCAACAGUUAGGCUCCUAACAUGGGUUAAGGACUGACUUCAGUCGUGGCUUGGGGUCUCUCGGUCUUGUGUGGUUUUAGUUAAAUCAUUAGUGCUGUAGAAAAGCUGCUAGUCCUUAUGUUGUUUUGAAGUAGGGUUUUUUUUCUAUUUUCUUUUUUCCCCCACUUGAUAUGUUAAUAAUAAAAAGAAAGUAAAGAGAAAGUUGGUCGAAGACGUUUUACAAUACGAUUGAAAACUUCCCUACAUUAUUCCUGCCUCCACUCCCCUGAUCUUCCCAGCUCUUGCACCUCCCUCCCUCCCGCUGCCCCCAGGUUAAAAGUACAAAUCAUGAAUUCCUCAGUAAGUCUUUUACAAGGAAUGUUGAAUUCUUUGAAGACUUUAAUCUGAAAUUAUCUGUCAAAGAUCUAGAAGAAUGGAAUCUAACUGAACUUUAACUACUUUAUCCUACUUAAGCCGGAACAGAACUGCUGAGCUGAGCAAUUUAAGAUUCCCACAGCUGCACUAGCUAUGUUUUUGUUCAUGGUACUAAAUUGUUUCCCUUAGCCUGAAAAGGGUUAUAAAACCUACAAUCAAUUUAGUUUCUGGGGCAUUGUGUUUUGAAUACCGUUUAAUAGGGUGUGACAAAAACACAUAAUUUCUCCACAUGUUCUUCCAUUGCAAGCAGAUUUUACUUGGUACUAGGCAGUGCACCAAAUGUUCUGGACAGCAGAGGAAGCAUUGGAAUUGGAAAUAGAAAAACGGUAUCAGACAGCUAGAAUGCCCAGGGCAUGACAAGAAUCUUAAGCACAAGAGAUGAGCACAAAGGAAUUUUUAUCAUCCAUUUGCUCAUCAACUCCACAUUUGCUACGGAUAGAAAUCAUUAGAUUUGUUUAACGUAGGGGAAAAGAAUAGAUUCAAAAACUGGAAACAUGAGUGAACCUAAUUGGACAGGAACAUAUUUAAUAUUAAUAUUAAUAAGCAGAGAUGGCUGAAUAUCAUGAACAGCUGUGGGCAGAAGGAGGAGGAGGAUUCUUGCUGCCUUCCAGUGAAUUGAAUCAGUCAGCCUGCUUCCUCAGCUUAAUACACCCUCAGUGUUUUAGUUACAUGAAUAACCACGUUUAUUUUAAUAACGCUUCUUGGCAGGGAGGAUAAGUUGAUUUACUUACCUUUACUAGUACUCUUCAUCUGUUUAUAUACCAUACCUUCUUAUAGUGCUGGGAUUUCAGCUUGUGUUUUGUAUUCACAAUGUAUCUUAAAUGAGUCUGUCUUCAUCGGGAAUUGCGACUAAACAUGUUGAAGAAAGUUAUAUGAUUAUUGAAAUAAAAAUACAAAUAAAACUCUACCUUUGCUUUCAGAUGGGCACUGGCAGGUAGUAACUCUGUCAAGUCAAGGAGAGACAUUUCUAAACAGUGAUGUGGAGAAAAAUACCUUGUCCCAUGAUACCUUGUGCCUAAUGCUGUAUUUUAGUGGUUCUGUAAUUGUGCAUAGAGCUAUGCUGUAGAACAUGAAUACUGUACAUUAAAGAAAUGGCCGUUGCUAAUUCUGACAGUGGAUGAGCUUGAUUUUU